Molecule: ribosomal RNA, 250 nt
Filed under: uncultured bacterium
Lineage: Bacteria
Description: partial 16S ribosomal RNA
Rfam family: Bacterial small subunit ribosomal RNA
Source: RNAcentral
UACGUAGGACGCAAGCGUUAUCCGGAUUUAUUGGGUUUAAAGGGUGCGUAGGCGGACCCAUAAGUCAGUGGUGAAAGACUGUCGCUUAACGAUAGCAUUGCCAUUGAUACUGUGGGUCUUGAGUAUAAUUGAGGUAGGCGGAAUGUGUAGUGUAGCGGUGAAAUGCUUAGAUAUUACACAGAACACCGAUUGCGAAGGCAGCUUACUAAGUUAUAACUGACGCUGAGGCACGAAAGCGUGGGGAUCAAAC